RNAcentral lists this small nuclear RNA (164 nucleotides) under Salvator merianae (Argentine black and white tegu). Its description in RNAcentral is "U1 spliceosomal RNA (ENSSMRG00000017577.1)". It matches the Rfam family "U1 spliceosomal RNA". Rfam says of the family: U1 is a small nuclear RNA (snRNA) component of the spliceosome (involved in pre-mRNA splicing). Its 5' end forms complementary base pairs with the 5' splice junction, thus defining the 5' donor site of an intron. There are significant differences in sequence and secondary structure between metazoan and yeast U1 snRNAs, the latter being much longer (568 nucleotides as compared to 164 nucleotides in human). Lineage: Eukaryota; Metazoa; Chordata; Lepidosauria; Squamata; Teiidae. The record is from Rfam by way of RNAcentral.
AUACUUACCUGGCCGGGGAGACACCCUGAUCGUGAAGGUGGUUUUCCCAGGGUGAGGCACAUCCAUUACGCCCUAGGUGUGCUGACCCCUGUAAUUUCCCCAAAUGCAGGAAAUGCAAAUGCAUAAUUUGUGGUAGUGAGGGACUGUGAUUGCACUUUCCCCUG